Long non-coding RNA from Hemicordylus capensis (graceful crag lizard), 724 nucleotides. RefSeq lists it as uncharacterized. Lineage: Eukaryota; Metazoa; Chordata; Lepidosauria; Squamata; Cordylidae. The record is from RefSeq and is a predicted model, not a curated record. The transcript is spliced from 3 exons.
GGUGGGAAGAUGUGCUUUAUGUAGCUCUGUGCAAAGCAGAGAAAUGUUACAGUUAUUUCAAGCAAGAAUAAAUCCUGGGUGACAUCUUUUAUUGUCAAUAUCCACACGAAGAAAGAAGGAUUAUUGUGCUAUGACAACCCAGCUACCCUGAAUUGCUUGAGGGAUCGAAGUGAGUGCUGAAAAUUUCCCCAAGCAGUGGUGGUGGCUGAUAACCCAGCUACAAACAUCUCAAAACCUCAUGGUGAGGCAUCAGGUGUGGUGGCACACCAAAUACACCAGUGUUUCCCAGAUGUUCCCCAGCUACAAAUGCUUGGCAUUGUAGUUCAGCAACAUCUGGAGGACCCCAGGUUGGGAAAACUCUGGUCUAAGGGAUAUCAACUGGAGGCACCAUGCCACUUCUAGUUCUUUCCCUCCAGAAUGUGUAUGGCAUCAGCACAGAAGGUGUUUGACCAACUCACUAUAUCUCACCUUUGUUGAAUCCAAUUGGAUAAUCACAUUGAUGACUGAACUCACCUGUUAUAGACAUUCAAAGGCAGAAGACUCAUCAGAUGUGCUUGUUGCAAAGUGGUUUGUAUUUGUUAACUACUGGAAUAAUAAAUACCAGAACAAUAUUUAUCCAUAUUCUUUUUCUAUCUGCUGUAUAAAGUGAUUGUGUAUAUUUUGAUCCUGGAUAUUUUGGAUAUUUAUAAUUUGAAAAAUAAAUUGUAAUUGCUUUAUCACCAAA